UCUGGUGUGGAGAAGACUGGGAGUUGUGGGGGGAGGUAGACUUUAACAGUCAGGGCAGGGUCGGGUGUUGUAGUGCAACAACCACAACUGGUGGCCUCAGCAUUCGCCAUUGUGACAGUCCUCUCACUGAACAACAAAUCCCUGACUCCUUUGUCAGACAUAUGGUUCUAAUGCUAGUCAUUACAUUCCAACCAUGAAACCCAGUUGUGUGACCCAGCACUAUAGAUAUGCUCUACUUCGUGUCUCCAGGCCUUUUAGUUCCGUGGCAUGUGACUUUAUAGCGCAAGAAGCGGACAGUCAGGAUUAGGUACUGUUGACAAACGGAGCUGACAGUCAGCCAUCAUUACUUCAAGUACUGCAAAGUGUCAGCCCUGGCCCUGCUGAAGAUGGUCAUGCAUGCCCGAUCAGGAGGGAAUCUGGAGGUGAUGGGCCUCAUGCUUGGAAAAGUGGAUGGGGAGACUAUGAUCAUUAUGGACAGUUUUGCUUUACCAGUUGAAGGAACUGAAACCAGAGUCAAUGCUCAAGCUGCUGCUUAUGAAUACAUGGCUGCGUAUAUUGAAAAUGCAAAGCAGCUCAUUAUGUGACUUGAGGGUCAUGAAGCUGUGGUGAUCCAAGAUGGCAGCUGCUAACUAGUAAAAAUGAGCAGAACUUCAGGAUACUCUAUAGCCAGAAUACUGUACCUUAAAAGCAAAUAUGUAGUUCAAGAGAAGGGGCUUUCGUUUUUCAAUUGAGGUUCAUGUCUGCAUUAAUUCCAGUCUCCUUUAACUACUUUCAUCACUAGAAACAACCAAUGGCCAGGUUGGAAGACUUGAAAAUGCAAUGGGCUGUUACCACAGUCAGUACCCAGAUGCUUAAUCAGCAGUUUUAAGAACCCUUUGUUGCAGUAGUGAUUGAUCCAACAAGAACAAUAUCCGCUGGCAAAGUUAAUCUUGGUGCUUUCAGAACAUAUCCAAAGGGCUAUAAACCUCCAGAUGAAGGUCCUUCAGAAUACCAGACAAUUCCUUUGAACAAAAUAGAAGAUUUUGGGGUGCAUUAUAUUAUGCCUUGGAAGUUACGUACUUUAAAUCAUCUUUGGACCGGAAUCUUCUUGAGCUGUUGUGGAAUAAAUAUUGGGUGAAUACACUGAGUUCCUCAAGCCUUCUGACAAUAAGUAAACCACCUGCGUACGUGUUUAAUUUAUCCUGUUUAUAAGUCUCCUGAAAUCUUUUCAUUUGUAUCCACAGAGUCAUUUGUGUAUAUUCCCACUAUGGUGUAAAAACUCCACCUACCUUUCCCCAGGUAAAGGGUAAAUCAGAUUUCCUGAGCUGCAUGUCUUCACUGACCUGUGGAAACCUACAUGACUAAUAAGAGCUGCAAGACCACUAUUGAAGCCA
This is an RNA transcript of Xenopus laevis (African clawed frog), 1373 nucleotides long. It is a transcript of the gene named COP9 signalosome subunit 5 L homeolog, with no coding region annotated. The record is from RefSeq and is a predicted model, not a curated record. The transcript is spliced from 8 exons. NCBI's taxonomy places the organism in Eukaryota, Metazoa, Chordata, Amphibia, Anura, Pipidae.